This 465-nucleotide ribosomal RNA is filed under the name uncultured bacterium. Its description in RNAcentral is "partial 16S ribosomal RNA". It matches the Rfam family "Bacterial small subunit ribosomal RNA", at positions 28 to 507 of the family's 1533-position model. The record is from RNAcentral.
GACGAACGCUGGCGGCGUGCUUAACACAUGCAAGUCGAACGGAAAGGCCCCUUUGGGGGUACUCGAGUGGCGAACGGGUGAGUAACACGUGAGUAACCUGCCCUUGACUUCGGGAUAACUUCAGGAAACUGGGGCUAAUACCGGAUAGGAAUCCUUGCUGCAUGGUGGGGGUUGGAAAGCUUCGGCGGUUUUGGAUGGACUCGCGGCUUAUCAGCUUGUUGGUGGGGUAGUGGCUUACCAAGGCUUUGACGGGUAGCCGGCCUGAGAGGGCGACCGGCCACAUUGGGACUGAGAUACGGCCCAGACUCCUACGGGAGGCAGCAGUGGGGAAUAUUGCACAAUGGGCGGAAGCCUGAUGCAGCAACGCCGCGUGCGGGAUGACGGCCUUCGGGUUGUAAACCGCUUUCAGCAGGGGAGAAGCUUGUGGUGACGGUACCUGCAGAAGAAGCACCGGCUAACUACGUG